Molecule: ribosomal RNA, 497 nt
Filed under: uncultured bacterium
Lineage: Bacteria
Description: partial 16S ribosomal RNA
Rfam family: Bacterial small subunit ribosomal RNA
Source: RNAcentral
GACGAACGCUGGCUGCGUGCCUAAUACAUGCAAGUUGAGCGCUGACGGUUGGUACUUUUACCAACUUGCUGAUCAGCGAACGGGUGAGUAACUCGUGGGUAAUCUGCCUUUGAGCUGGGGACAGCAUUUCGUACCGAAUGCUAAUACCUCAUAAAAACUUUAAUCACAAGUUUUAAGUUUGAAAUAUGCAAUUGCAUCACUCAAAGAUGAUCCCGCGUUGUAUUAGCUAUUUGGUGAGGUACAGGCUCACCAAGCCGAUGAUACAUAGCCGACCUGAGAGGGGGAGCGACGACACUGAGACUGAGACACGGCCCAAACACAAACGGGAGGCAGCAGUAGGGAAGAUGAGGCAAGGGACGAAAGUCUGACCGAGAAACGCCGCGGGAGGGAAGAAGAUUGUAGGAUCGUAAAACUCGGUUGGUAGAGAAGAGCGUGGGUGAGAGUGGAAAGCUCAUCAAGUGAAGGUAACUACUCAGAAAGGGACGGCUAACUACGUG